GACUAGUCGUACUCCGAAUGCAUNCAGAUUGUUNAGGAACACGUAGCUGACUGCCCUCAAGUGCGGGAUACGCCCGAAAGGGGUGCUAAUACGCGUAAGCUCACAACCGCUAGGGGGUUGUGAGAAAAGGCUUCGGUCGCUUGAGGAGGGGGCUGCGGCGCAUCAGGUAGUUGGUGGGGUAACGGCUACCAAGCCAACGACGCGUCGGGGGUCUGAGAGGAUGGCCCCCCACACUGGGACUGAGACACGGCCAGACUCCUACGGGAGGCAGCAGUGAGGGAUAUUGCACAAUGGGGGAAACCCUGAUGCAGCGACGCCGCGUGGGCGAUGAAGGUCUUCGGAUCGUAAAGCCCUUUUCUGUGUGACGAGCAAGGACGGUAGCACAGGAAUAAGUCUCGGCUAACUACGUGCCAGCAGUCGCGGUAAAACGUAGUAGGCAAGCGUUAUCCGGAGUUACAGGGCGUAAAGCGCAAGUAGGCGGUUGUGCAAGUUGGUUGUGAAUGCGCCCGGCUAAACUGGGCGAAGCGAUCAAGACUGNACGGNUAAGAGUGCGUAAAGGGGCGGCCAAAAUUCCGGGGUGUACGGGUGAAAAUUGUGUUUAGAAUNCCGGAGGGAAAUUCCAGUUGGGGNAAGCCGGGUGCCCCUGGGGCAUAUUU
RNAcentral lists this ribosomal RNA (656 nucleotides) under uncultured bacterium. RNAcentral's name for it is "bacterial SSU rRNA". It matches the Rfam family "Bacterial small subunit ribosomal RNA", at positions 74 to 741 of the family's 1533-position model. The record is from RNAcentral.